Equus quagga is the source of this 1690-nucleotide long non-coding RNA. RefSeq lists it as uncharacterized. Lineage: Eukaryota; Metazoa; Chordata; Mammalia; Perissodactyla; Equidae. The transcript has 3 exons. The record is from RefSeq and is a predicted model, not a curated record.
CAGAAACCAACCCUGAUGGCACCUUGAUCUUGGACUUUUGACCUCCAGAAUGAAGAAAGGAAAAAGUCCAGUCUUUCAAAAGAAAGGUCUAAGCAAAGGAGAAAGAAAAAAUCACCUAAAAGAAAACACAAGGAGUAUUCUGAAGAUAGUGACAGUGACUCUGAUUCUGGAACAGACUCCAGCGACAAAUUUAGGGAUGCCACUCCCUACAUUGCUUUACCAAAUGCUUAAAAACAACAGCAGGAGGACUCGACUUUAAGCUAGCUCCCGCCGUCAGUCUCAGUGUAACUACAUAGCCAUUAGUUAUUCAGAUAGUGUGCUCUGUGGACGAGUUACUCCCUUCUGCCAGUGGUGAGAUAUUUACACAAUUACUCAUUUUAGCUCAGAGGUUAUGCUUGGUUUUAAAUAUUUUAAAUAGUAUAAUUGAGCUCUCUUAUAACCCAGCUCCUUAGUGCAUUAAUUUGAAUACUUCCAAGUCAGACUGAGUCCCAACAUGACUACAUAGAAGAAAGAAGUAUUCCUUUAGGGAGGGCCAACAUCUUCCCUAAAGAAUACCUGUGUUAGGAGGUAUUGACGCAAAUAAUUAAAAAUCAUUCUAUUGUAAAAGAAAAGAAGAGAGUUUUAUUUGAGCCAAACUGAGGACUAUAGCCUAGGAGUCGCAGCCUUCACAAGGGAAGAAAGCGCUCUGGCUAAGAGCGAUUUUCAGCACAGUUAUAUACCGUUUCAAAACAAAGAGAUGUACAUCGAGCACGACAGGGGUACAUUCCUUCAAGGAGAUCUUUGUUACAGAUUAGCAUGGGUACAGCGGGUCAACAUGACCCUGGCAUCAUAGGAAGGGAGGCAUUAAUUCUUAUCUUCAAAAAGUGCACUCUGCUUUAGGGUAAUGAUUAAAGCAGAUGUACAAUGUAUGUUUGACAGGCCGUAAAUCAGACUUCUUUGGUUCAAAUGAAAUUCAGGUCAAAUCAAAUUCAAACCAGAAUGGCUUCCCCAUAUACUUUAAUAUAAAAAUUUUCUUAUAUCAGAGGAGUUGAACUUUAUUGUAAAAUAUAUAUAUAAAUGUGGUACAGGUAUAGGAAAAGUGGUUGUGUUCUAUUGUUUUUUUCCUUUAGGAACUCAUGUUCGCACUGGAAAUGGGCAAGUUCCAUAAUCUGAAAUUUACUUAUCCCAUUUUGUUUCCCUUAAAGCUCCCCAAAUUCAAAACUUAUUUUCCAGUCAUGGAAAAGACAAUAAAAACAAACCAACAUGAGAAUGACCAGGACAGAGGUGUCCAAGUCCUGAAGCAGGUUUCAAAUGGCUGCCCUGCCGAGCUGCUUUGUUCAGGUUUACUCGCCUGCACCCUGGCUUCAGUCACACUCAUGCACAGUGCAAUCUCCUUUCUGAGAAGACAAAAGCACAAAUGUCCAAUAUUCAGAUAUGUGAAUGGAACUAAAUAUAUGGAUGUUAUUUCAUGCUUGUUUUAAAAUUUCUCUCCCUCUUAUGCCCCCCACCCCAGCAGAAUUUUCUGUAAUACCCAGUUCAAGGCUUGCUUUAGGGGGUGGUCUUCCUUCCCGCACAAAAUUUAAUGUGGCACCAAAACAAUCAGUGAUCAAGAUAAUGUUUUAACAAAUUUAACAAGUAUCAAAAUGAAUGCAAAAAUAAUCCAUGAUGAAAAAAUUAUCAAAAUUUAGAUAUAGGUAGGAUCUGACCCUGC